UACGUAGGGACCGAGCGUUGUCCGGAAUCAUUGGGCGUAAAGAACGUGUAGGCGGCCACUUAAGUCCUGCGUGAAAUCUUGCGGCUCAACCGCAAGCGGUCGUGGGAAACUGGGUGGCUAGAGUGCGGGAGAGGAGAGUGGAAUUCCUGGUGUAGCGGUGGAAUGCGCAGAUAUCAGGAAGAACACACGUGGCGAAGGCGGUUCUCUGGGACGGUACUGACGCUGAGACGCGAAAGCGUGGGGAGCGAACAGG
This 253-nucleotide ribosomal RNA is filed under the name uncultured bacterium. Its description in RNAcentral is "partial 16S ribosomal RNA". It matches the Rfam family "Bacterial small subunit ribosomal RNA", at positions 524 to 776 of the family's 1533-position model. The record is from RNAcentral.